AAUAGAUACCCAGGUAGUCCACGCCGUAAACGAUGGAUACUAGCUGUUGGAGGUAUCGACCCCCUCAGUAGCGAAGCUAACGCGUUAAGUAUCCCGCCUAUGGAGUACGGUCGCAAGACUAAAACAUAAAGGAAUUGACGGGGACCCGCACAAGCGGUGGAUCGUGUUCUUUAAUUCGAUGCUAAACGAAGAACCUUACCAGGGUUUGACAUCCCUUGAACUAAUCCGAAAGGAUUGAGUGCUUUAUUGAACAAGGUGACAGGUGAUGCAUGGCCGUCGUCAGCUCGUGUCGUGAGAUGUUUGGUUAAGUCCAUCAACGAGCGCAACCCUUGCAAGUAGUUGUAUUUUUCUACUUGGACUGCCCCGGUAACGGGGAGGAAGGAGGGGAUGAUGUCAGGUCAGUAUUUCCCUUACAUCCUGGGCUAGAAACACGAUACAAUGGCUAGUACAAUGCGCAGCGAAGCCGCGAGGUGAAGCAAAUCGCAUCAAAGCUAGUCCCAGUUCGGAUUGGAGGCUGAAACUCGCCUCCAUGAAGUCGGAA
Molecule: ribosomal RNA, 541 nt
Filed under: uncultured bacterium
Lineage: Bacteria
Description: bacterial SSU rRNA
Rfam family: Bacterial small subunit ribosomal RNA
Source: RNAcentral